AGAUUGAACGCUGGCGGCAUGCCUUACACAUGCAAGUCGAACGCGAAAGCGGGGCAACCCGCAAGUAGAGUGGCGAACGGGUGAGUAAUACAUCGGAACAUUUCCAGUAGCGGGGGAUAACCUGUCGAAAGAUAGGCUAAUACCGCAUACGACCUAAGGGUGAAAGCGGAGGACCGCAAGGCUUCGCACUAUUGGAGUGGCCGAUGUCGGAUUAGCUAGUUGGCGGGGUAACAGCCCACCAAGGCUACGAUCCGUAGCUGGUCUGAGAGGACGAUCAGCCACACUGGAACUGAGACCACGGUCCAGACUCCUACGGGAGCAGCAGUGGGGAAUUU
This 335-nucleotide ribosomal RNA is filed under the name uncultured soil bacterium. Its description in RNAcentral is "bacterial SSU rRNA". It matches the Rfam family "Bacterial small subunit ribosomal RNA", at positions 26 to 364 of the family's 1533-position model. The record is from RNAcentral.